GAAAGGCGCUUUUGCGUCACUGAUGGAUGGACCCGCGGUGCAUUAGCUAGUUGGUGAGGUAACGGCUCACCAAGGCAACGAUGCAUAGCCGACCUGAGAGGGUGAUCGGCCACAUUGGGACUGAGACACGGCCCAAACUCCUACGGGAGGCAGCAGUAGGGAAUCUUCGGCAAUGGACGGAAGUCUGACCGAGCAACGCCGCGUGAGUGAAGAAGGUUUUCGGAUCGUAAAACUCUGUUGUUAGAGAAGAACAAGGAUGAGAGUAGAAUGUUCAUCCCUUGACGGUAUCUAACCAGAAAGCCACGGCUAACUACGUGCCAGCAGCCGCGGUAAUACGUAGGUGGCAAGCGUUGUCCGGAUUUAUUGGGCGUAAAGCGAGCGCAGGCGGUUUCUUAAGUCUGAUGUGAAAGCCCCCGGCUCAACCGGGGAGGGUCAUUGGAAACUGGGAAACUUGAGUGCAGAAGAGGAGAGUGGAAUUCCAUGUGUAGCGGUGAAAUGCGUAGAUAUAUGGAGGAACACCAGUGGCGAAGGCGGCUCUCUGGUCUGUAACUGACGCUGAGGCUCGAAAGCGUGGGGAGCAAACAGGAUUAGAUACCCUGGUAGUCCACGCCGUAAACGAUGAGUGCUAAGUGUUGGAGGGUUUCCGCCCUUCA
Molecule: ribosomal RNA, 653 nt
Filed under: uncultured bacterium
Lineage: Bacteria
Description: bacterial SSU rRNA
Rfam family: Bacterial small subunit ribosomal RNA
Source: RNAcentral